RNAcentral lists this long non-coding RNA (360 nucleotides) under Cricetulus griseus (Chinese hamster). RNAcentral's name for it is "lncRNA (ENSCGRG00000025794.1)". Lineage: Eukaryota; Metazoa; Chordata; Mammalia; Rodentia; Cricetidae. The record is from RNAcentral.
UGCCAUCUCAGUUGAUCUCAUAAUGACACGUCUGUACAUCAGGGGAAGGACGAUAAGAAACAAGAGCUGUUCAUCUUGUCUCUCCCUUUUUGGCUGGUUAACCAUUCAACAGAAUCAGAAGACAAAUUUAGGAACCCUGCCCUAGUCCUCUGGGCAAAGCAUUCCUCCUCCUCAGGCUAUCCUGACAACUCCAGCCUAUCUGUUGGCCCUCAUCCAGUGGCUGAUGGAAGCAGAGACAGACAUCCACAGAUAUACACUGAGCUGAAAUCUGGAAUUUAGUUGAAGAGAGGGAGGAAUGAAGAUCGAAGGAGUUUGUACCAGGUUGGAGAAACCUACACAAACAGUUGACCUGAACAAGAG